ACCUGGUCCUAGGGCAGUGAUGUUUACAACCAAUUGAUCACAACUAACUGAAGCAGUAGUUCCCACUGCUUCAAUUCACUAGCUUUAA
This 88-nucleotide small RNA is filed under the name Nomascus leucogenys (northern white-cheeked gibbon). RNAcentral's name for it is "Y RNA (ENSNLEG00000035918.1)". The record is from RNAcentral. Lineage: Eukaryota; Metazoa; Chordata; Mammalia; Primates; Hylobatidae.